Molecule: ribosomal RNA, 118 nt
Organism: Otolemur garnettii (small-eared galago)
Lineage: Eukaryota; Metazoa; Chordata; Mammalia; Primates; Galagidae
Source: Ensembl
GUCUACGGCCACACCACCCUGAACAUGCUGGAUCUUGUCUGAUCUUGAAAGCUAAACAGGGUUGGGCCUGUUAAUACUUGGAUGGGAGACCACCUGGGAGUACUGGGUGCUGUAGGCU